This is a long non-coding RNA of Odocoileus virginianus texanus, 853 nucleotides long. RefSeq lists it as uncharacterized. The record is from RefSeq and is a predicted model, not a curated record. Lineage: Eukaryota; Metazoa; Chordata; Mammalia; Artiodactyla; Cervidae.
UGCGCCUGUGACUUUCCCUUGGGGUCAAACCUCAAUCCCAGCGCAGUUCCUUGACCCUGUCGGCCUCAUCUGCCCUCCCCUCCUCCUGAUCUCUAAGCUCCAUCCACGCUGGCGGCCUGUCCACGGACCAUCGGAGCAUCCGCACACACUGCUGGCUCCGCCCCCGCCCCGGCGCAUCCGCGCGCCUUCCCGCCCGCCGCCAGCCUAAACCGGGGCCUCGGCUGUCCUCUCCUGCACGCUCUUCUUUUCUCCGGCAGCUUCUCAGGCUCCGAGUCUCGGUUUAGUGGCUGCCCCACUCGCACUCUAAACCUCUCGAGACCAAGGACUGUGUGGAUUUCAUCCCUGCAUUGCCCGGUCUAGAAGCAUGCGUGGCAAACGUUGGACCUGGGAGCCACGCCUGGGAAGUGGGGUCUUCAAGGAAGAGACUCCCCAUCUCUCCGUUUGUCCAAGAGGUAAAACCACAUUCUGUCCUGAAGCUGUGAGAAAGUUGACUUUGCCUUUGGGGAAGGCCAGUUAACAAACACAGUGGCUGAGGACCCCACUCCCACCCCAGGUCUUAAAAUCCGCCUGGCCCGUGUUUCCGUGGACCUCAGGUUGAGCUCUGGGCCCCGGCCUCUGUUACAACGGCCAAGAGUAAAGUCUUCUUUACGAGCCUCAGUGUGUCUGGUGCAAUGUUGCUUCGAUGCUAUAAAAGGAGCUUGAGACAUCCUCCAUAAUUUCUUAAAACAAAAAGGAGCAUUUACAUUACAAAAUGAACUGUGUUUGGUUUUUAUGAAACAAGAAGGAAAGGGAAACCCUUUACAUUAAAAUAGCAUCUGAUUUUUUUUUUCUAAAUAAAUGAAGCCUAUUUUUA